UUAGUUUCUAUUACGAACACGUGUUUUUCAGCAUCCAAUUCCACCAGAAGAAUCAGAAGAAGAACACGUGUUUUCGAGUUACGCAUUCAAACUAGGAAACGGAUUAAUGUAGGAAUGGAUAAUGGUGACGAUUUAUACGUUGAAAUAGGGACUGUAACGGACGAGACAGUGGAAGUGCCCGUUUAUACUUAUAUAGCCAUGUUUGUACUCGAUUGUUGCGAAGUUUAUGACAUUAAUAUUUAUUUUGUUAAAUCAAAUGCAUCUUCACAGUUCUGUAUACCUGUAAAAGUCACGGAACACUUUAAAUUUAAAUUUAUCGAAUUCGAUGAUUUACCUCAAAACGUAAAAGACAGUCAUUUUCCUGUUAUUCAUUCGGUUAAUUCGUUGACGUGCAUAGGAGGUUUGUGUGCAGUAGUCAGAUGGGCGAUCAAAACAAAUCCAAAUGACAGCUACUCAGAUUUAUUAGGGUUUAGAAAUGGAUGUUUAAUGGCUUGCUCAGAAAACUCAAUAUGGACCAAAUUUUGUGAAGUUGACAUGCCUAAUUCUGUAAAUCUGUUGAUUGAUCGAAAAAGUAAUAGAAACGAAGAAUCUGUCUUACCAUCAGAUUUAUUGAAAUUGGAAUUUCAUCUUCAACAUCCUGUAAAAACUCAUAAUAUUUUGAAAAGAAAGCAAGAGUUUGUAAACAAAAUGAAAUCCCAUCAAAAUAACGAAUCCCAUUCCGGCAAAGACGUUUUCGAGAUGUCAUCUUUAAAGGAGUCGUUAGAAGAACAAUUAGAAAUAAAGAAAAAAUCGUCUUCCCCUCCGUCCGAAUAUACGAUGGAUAAAAGUUGCGUCAAUGUUAAACUACCACACAUUUACGUGGAGGGUAUAGAUUUUACUAUAGCUGACGUAAUUCUGUUACCUACCGUUCAUCAUCUCUUGACAGAGUUAAGACCUUGGAAAUCCGAAAUAGAGCGUAAUCUUCCGUUAUUAUUAAACUGGUAUCGCAGGUUAUUAAAAAACGAAUAUAUUUCAAAAUUAAUUGAUACUUGGAAAUGGGUUAAAUGGGAAGAUAUAUUUAUUGAAACGUAUAGAAAUGAUAUAAAAAUACCAGAAAUUCAAAAGGAGAGUUUGUAUACUAGAGAUCCUUUGAGAUGUAAACCUAGGAUGAGGAAUCGUGAUCCUGCUGAAAUUAUUGAUAAAUUGACGAUUGCUGGGGUAUGCCCGUAUUAUAGUGCUCACCCUUUCAAAAAUAACACAAGUCUCGAGUGGGAAGCAUUACCGAGGGCAGUUCAUCCUGCGGGAGGAGAUUUGCCAUUAAAUAGAAUAAUGAGAAAAUGUCAUCAAGUCGAAAGUAUCGUUACGGCCGUGUUAUCGUUAGCCGUUCCCGGUAAUCUGAUAGUCGAUUUCUGUGCGGGUGGCGGACAUGUUGGUAUUUUAAUAGCAUAUUUACGUCCUUCCUGUAAGGUAAUUCUUAUAGAAAAUAAAGAAUCAUCUAUGGAUCGUGCUAGAGCGAGAGCAAAAGAAUUGCAGCUUAGAAACGUAUUCUUUUAUCAGUGUAAUAUGGAUUAUUUUUGUGGAAGAUUUGACAUUGGCGUGUGUUUACAUGCUUGUGGAGUAGCAACCGAUUUGGUAAUUAGACAGUGUCUUUCUCAAAAUGCCAGUUUUGUCUGUUGCCCGUGCUGUUACGGUUCGAUUAAGAAUUCUCAUUUGGUUCAAUAUCCAAGGAGUGAAAAAUUUAGAGAGUGCGGUGUGAGUUAUGAGGAAUAUCAACUGUUGUGUCAUUGUGCGGACCGUACUGAAGUAGCGACGCCAAAAGUAGAAGAAGGUGAAAUAUAUAUGAAAAUCUAACAUAACUCAGAAAUAAAAAUUAUUAAUGUUGGUUUUGAAAGAGCUUUUUCUGCCAUUUAAGAUUUGAUUUUAUUUAUUUCUAUGAAAAGACAAUGAGAGAUAUUAAAUGAAAGUAAAAGCAAUUUAAUACCAUUAGCAAUUUGAACCUACAAACUUUUAUAUUCUGCAACAUCACAAUCAUCAUAAUGGUAAAUACUGCAUGAGCAUUAUCGACACCGAUAGAUAUUUCCAUGCGUACGAAAAUAACUACAACAUCCGAUUAACUACUCUGCAACCGCCGUCUUGUACGCCCAAAUCUAAUUUAUUGAUAGGAGUACC
RNAcentral lists this unclassified non-coding RNA (2148 nucleotides) under Centruroides sculpturatus (bark scorpion). RNAcentral describes it as "glutathione S-transferase C-terminal domain- containing protein-like, transcript variant X2". Lineage: Eukaryota; Metazoa; Arthropoda; Arachnida; Scorpiones; Buthidae. The record is from RNAcentral.